This 294-nucleotide long non-coding RNA is filed under the name Mustela putorius furo (domestic ferret). RNAcentral describes it as "lncRNA (ENSMPUG00000031884.1)". Lineage: Eukaryota; Metazoa; Chordata; Mammalia; Carnivora; Mustelidae. The record is from RNAcentral.
GCAAAGAGUAACAUAGCACGAAGUAGAAGGACCCAGAUCCCCAAGGAUUUUGUGGAACAGAGCUGCCAUAUUAGGUUGGGACUAUGGAACUGUGACAGCUGUACCUUAUCCUAAUGGAGAAUUUCUCCAGAUCAACAGCCCCAAAUUUCCAGCCUCUCUGUGUCUGCAAGGACACCCCACCUGUCCCAUUGCAGUGAUGAGCAGAGCUUCGAGGUUGUGCUUUGACUUCAGACCAACUUCUCUACUUCUGCAGACAACCUCAUCACCUCCUGCCUAUUUGCAAGUGGACUUUCU